Molecule: long non-coding RNA, 556 nt
Organism: Camponotus floridanus (Florida carpenter ant)
Lineage: Eukaryota; Metazoa; Arthropoda; Insecta; Hymenoptera; Formicidae
Exons: 2
Source: RefSeq, a predicted model, not a curated record
UGCAAUCUGCUAUGAGAAAUUUGUUAUUCAAUCGUUUCCCGUACAUUAUUCCAUGAUGAAUAUUAGUGUUAUAAAAAAAGACAUCACGCAUGAAAAAAAUGCCAUAAACUCGGCCACGUAUGAUCGUAUGCAAAGAGCCGCGAAGGCAAGAAAGAAGAUCGACGAUCGUAAAGCCCGAGGUUAUUCGAAAUCCAGGCCAGGAGAAAGCAGUGAAAGGACGAUGAGAUUAAAAUUCAAAUUAUAACGCGCGUGUAAAAAAGAUAAAAAUGUAGUCGAAUCGACGACAAAUCAUACGUUCCCGAUUGCAGUUCGAGCUGUCAAACGAGUUUACUCGCGAGGUGAUAUGCAAAAGAGGGACGAGGUCCACGAGCAGUACGAAUACGUUGGCACAAAGGAUGUCAAAGGAAUCCAAUAAACAGCGCGCGAAGGAAUUCGAUUGGCUACAAACUCAGGAUAAAAUUCGCUUAAUGAGGCAGAGUGUGUCGCGGUAGACGGAGGUCGAGGAGCACACGAGGAGAAAAUUCACUUUCCGUAUUAGAAUGGUUAUGGAAAAAAA